AAUAGCGUCUCUCCGAACACACCCUUGAUGCUAACAAGAUGGUCAAUAAGUAAAUGAUUCCUGAGAUCGCUUUUGUAAUCCCGGUGGAUUUGCAAUUCAUACGACGUAUUGAUUAGCACAACCUAAUACAUGUAUGCUUGCUCAACGCUCGAUGCUUGAUGCUACCAUGUAAAUGCCACAUAAAGGCCUUGAUGAGUACAUUGGAGUGAGUAGGAGAUAGGAGCAUAUUGAAGUAUGUUCGAACUAGGAAUUCUCUAGUAAGGGAUGAGACAAUGCGUGUGCAAACUGCGGAUUGAUCGUCGCUAUUCGAGGGAUACUUCCAUGCUUCGAAAAAUUGCUUUGUCUGAAAAUAUCCCACGAUAUCGUUUGAGUUCAAAUUUUAUGAAAUAUAUAAAAAAUAUCAAUUAUGCUCCUAACUGCAAAAAUAACAGUAGAAAAGGAAAAAUGUCCAAUUUUCCAAAAUCUCCGUCCCAACAAAAAUGGCUGAAAAAUGUCGGCUGUC
This is a long non-coding RNA of Atta colombica, 502 nucleotides long. RefSeq lists it as uncharacterized. The record is from RefSeq and is a predicted model, not a curated record. The transcript is spliced from 3 exons. Lineage: Eukaryota; Metazoa; Arthropoda; Insecta; Hymenoptera; Formicidae.